AACGAACGCUGGCGGCGUGCCUCAUACAUGCAAGUCGAGCGAGAAAGUAUCCUUCGGGGUGCGAGUAAAGCGGCAAACGGGUGAGUAACACGUGGGAAAUCUGCCUAUAAGACUGGGAUAACUUCGGGAAACCGGAGCUAAUACCGGAUAAUUCUUUUCUACACAUGUAGAAAAGCUAAAAGACGGUUUACGCUGUCACUUAUAGAUGGGCCCGCGGCGCAUUAGCUAGUUGGUGAGGUAAUGGCUCACCAAGGCCACGAUGCGUAGCCGACCUGAGAGGGUGAUCGGCCACACUGGGACUGAGACACGGCCCAGACACCUACGGGAGGCUG
RNAcentral lists this ribosomal RNA (332 nucleotides) under uncultured Bacillota bacterium. RNAcentral describes it as "bacterial SSU rRNA". It matches the Rfam family "Bacterial small subunit ribosomal RNA", at positions 29 to 351 of the family's 1533-position model. The record is from RNAcentral. Lineage: Bacteria; Bacillati; Bacillota.